RNAcentral lists this ribosomal RNA (592 nucleotides) under Paraphaeosphaeria neglecta. RNAcentral describes it as "eukaryotic LSU rRNA". The stretch from base 243 to 396 matches the Rfam family "5.8S ribosomal RNA". Lineage: Eukaryota; Fungi; Ascomycota; Dothideomycetes; Pleosporales; Didymosphaeriaceae. The record is from RNAcentral.
CGUAACAAGGUUUCCGUAGGUGAACCUGCGGAAGGAUCAUUAUCCAUCUCAAACCAGGUGCGGUCGCGGCCCCCGGGGGCUUGCUCCCGGGUGGUAGGGGUAACACCCUCACGCGCCGCCUGCCUGUACCCUCUUUUUACGAGCACCUUUCGUUCUCCUUCGGCGGGGCAACCUGCCGCUGGAACCAAAACAAAACCUUUUUUGCAUCUAGCAUUACCUGUUCUGAUACAAACAAUCGUUACAACUUUCAACAAUGGAUCUCUUGGCUCUGGCAUCGAUGAAGAACGCAGCGAAAUGCGAUAAGUAGUGUGAAUUGCAGAAUUCAGUGAAUCAUCGAAUCUUUGAACGCACAUUGCGCCCCUUGGUAUUCCAUGGGGCAUGCCUGUUCGAGCGUCAUCUACACCCUCAAGCUCUGCUUGGUGUUGGGCGUCUGUCCCGCCUCUGCGCGCGGACUCGCCCCAAAUUCAUUGGCAGCGGUCUUUGCCUCCUCUCGCGCAGCACAAUUGCGUCUGCGGGGGGGCGUGGCCCGCGUCCACGAAGCAACAUUACCGUCUUUGACCUCGGAUCAGGUAGGGAUACCCGCUGAACUUAA